Molecule: ribosomal RNA, 254 nt
Filed under: uncultured bacterium
Lineage: Bacteria
Description: partial 16S ribosomal RNA
Rfam family: Bacterial small subunit ribosomal RNA
Source: RNAcentral
UACAGAGGGUGCAAGCGUUAAUCGGAAUUACUGGGCGUAAAGCGCGCGUAGGUGGUUUGUUAAGUUGGAUGUGAAAUCCCCGGGCUCAACCUGGGAACUGCAUUCAAAACUGACAAGCUAGAGUAUGGUAGAGGGUGGUGGAAUUUCCUGUGUAGCGGUGAAAUGCGUAGAUAUAGGAAGGAACACCAGUGGCGAAGGCGACCACCUGGACUGAUACUGACACUGAGGUGCGAAAGCGUGGGGAGCAAACAGGA